GGACAACCUGAAAGCCCCUGCUGUGGCACACAGGGCGUCAGAAACUGACCUAAAUCUCGAAGGCUGUGGUUCUCACAUUCGUUGCACAUUAAAAUUACCCGAGGAGCUUUUCAAACAUCUCUGUGCCUGAAUUCCACCCCCAGAGAUUUAUUUAACUGUUGGAGAGGGGAUGGGAAGAGGUUAGGUGCGGAUAUUUUUUAAAAGCUUCCCCAAGUGAUUCUGUUCAGCCAUGACUGAGAACUACCAUCCUAGGGCAUCUGCCUGUAUUCUUUAGCAAACUUGCUCACAGAAGGGGGAGAAAUUACCAAACUCCUGAGAAUCCUCAUCCUGACCCUCACCAGAUGACAGUGCCAUGCUUUUGGACUUCCCAACCUCCAGAAAUAUGAUAUCUGUAAAUACACAAGUACAGCAGCCAUGGCUUGGGAAGGGCAUAGUGAACAGGAGCUCGUACUGCUCAGAAAUAAGGAUCUGGAUCACAGCAUCAGCAAGGACUAAGAGACACCCCUAAGGAAGAAAAGUAGUAGUAGUGGCUUGGAACCAGGACCCACAAUAUCUCCAAGGAUGCCGGUAUAUCCCACUUCAUUUCAAUGACCCACUUACUGAGUUACAUUCCAUACUACAUUAUCAAUGCCUCCAAGUCAGAGACUAUGUCUUACUUUUGUUUGUAUGUCUAGUUGCUAGAAUAGUUCUGAGUGCACAGUAGGUGAUGAGGUUUAUUUUGAUGUUGAACAAAUAUGUACAACCUGCAAAGAUAUUUUUACUCAGUGCUUUAUCCAUUCAGAUUUUGCCCUCAUGAAUCAAAACUGUAGUUAUAAAUAUAAAUAAAUGUAUAAAUGCA
Molecule: long non-coding RNA, 838 nt
Filed under: Homo sapiens (human)
Lineage: Eukaryota; Metazoa; Chordata; Mammalia; Primates; Hominidae
Description: novel transcript
Source: RNAcentral